UACGGGGGGGGCAAGCGUUGUUCGGAAUUACUGGGCGUAAAGGGCGCGUAGGCGGCCUGCUAAGUCGGACGUGAAAUCCCCCGGCUCAACCGGGGAACUGCGUCCGAUACUGGUGGGCUCGAAUCCGGGAGAGGGAUGUGGAAUUCCAGGUGUAGCGGUGAAAUGCGUAGAUAUCGGGAGGAAUACCAGUGGCGAAGGCGGCGACCUGGGCCAAUACUGACGCUGAGGUGCGAAAGCGUGGGGAGCAAACAGG
This 253-nucleotide ribosomal RNA is filed under the name uncultured bacterium. Its description in RNAcentral is "partial 16S ribosomal RNA". It matches the Rfam family "Bacterial small subunit ribosomal RNA", at positions 524 to 776 of the family's 1533-position model. The record is from RNAcentral.